GGACAAUGGGCGAAACGUGAUCCAGCAAUGCCGCGUGAGUGAUGAAGGCCUUAGGGUUGUAAAGCUCUUUUACCAGGGAUGAUAAUGACAGUACCUGGAGAAUAAGCUCCGGCUAACUCCGUGCCAGCAGCCGCGGUAAUACGGAGGGAGCUAGCGUUGUUCGGAAUUACUGGGCGUAAAGCGCACGUAGGCGGCAUACC
RNAcentral lists this ribosomal RNA (200 nucleotides) under uncultured bacterium. RNAcentral's name for it is "partial 16S ribosomal RNA". It matches the Rfam family "Bacterial small subunit ribosomal RNA", at positions 366 to 584 of the family's 1533-position model. The record is from RNAcentral.